RNAcentral lists this long non-coding RNA (4411 nucleotides) under Gossypium barbadense (sea-island cotton). RNAcentral's name for it is "long non-coding RNA (GBAR_LNC005975)". The record is from RNAcentral. Lineage: Eukaryota; Viridiplantae; Streptophyta; Magnoliopsida; Malvales; Malvaceae.
GGCUAAGCAAGUGGUACAAAUGAAAAGUCACAUCAACGCUAGCUGUUAUGAAACAAAUCAAAGGUAAAUAAGAAAAAAAAUGAAUCAAAAUGUUCUCACUUCCAAGCCAAACAAACGAAAGUUGAUAGAGAGAUUCAGAUGCUGCAAAUCCAAGAACAUGAGACCAAGACUAGUUGGUGGUUUGAAGGCGGGUCUACAAACCUCUUAUCUGCCUUCAUUUGGGGCAGCGUCUUCAACCAGCCAAGUGGCUUCAUCUCCUAGGAAAGCUUCUUUUUCCAUCAAAUGUGUCGCUUUAUUUUCGGAUUGACCCACAAACAAAAUCUUGCAAACUGCAAAUCGGUCUAAUAAUCUUUUACCAUCAACAAUGUGGGCACUAAUUAAAGAAAAAUCCUGUCUGGUAGAUUUCAUCUUCUUAAGAACAGAGAGGGAGUCCCCUUCAAGCUCAAUCGAGUAAAAACCAAAAUCCAGAAACAAUUUCAAAGCUUGCAUGCAAGUGAGGGCUUCCGCCGCGAAAGGGGUAGGUACAUGCUUCAUCACUAAGGCACGCGAUCCCAUUACUAACUCUUCCUGAUUCCAAAUCACCACACCCGUACCUGAUAUGUUCUGUUCACUCUUGAAGGCAGUUUCGAAGUGGUGACUGCAACCUUGGACCUUGAUAACUCUCUAAGCUCUUAACAAAUGCGCCUGAAUAGAGGUACGUUAAUCCUCACUUCUUGUUGUCUUUGCCUCGUUCAUGAAGUUGUUUCAGCAAAUCAGGCCGCCCAAAUGCUGACUGCCAUUACUUCAUAGUCAUCAUUCCUGUGACUAUGUAUACCUAACUCGGUUACCAGAUUCAACACGUUAUAUUAUCAAAGCAACUCCGAUUAAAUUAACAUAAAUCUACAAAGUCAAAUUCAUAAUUAUCGUUCAUAACAGUUAAUCCAUUUGUUAUGAUCAUACACAUGCAUUCAUAGCACAUAAGAAUUAAUUAUAUCUAGUUACAGGGUUAUAAAUAAAUUUUAGAGUUAGUAUCCAAAUCCAAGUGUCAAAUUUUAAUUUGUUAUCUUAAGACGGGGAACCUCAUGUAUUGGGACAGACAUCGUUUUUACUUUGGAAUUUUUGCUUUUAUGUCAACAAGUCUCGAGAUAAACAAGUUCAUGUCUUAAGAUAAAAAUCUUCAAGGUUCAAGAUUGGGUCUCAAGAUAAUUUUUCCAUGUUUUCUUAUUUUAGCUUCAAUGUUUGGGUGUCUUAUCACAAGAGGUUUUUGUCUUGAGACUCAGAACAAGGCAAAACUUAUUUAGAUUCAUUGUGCUCUUGUCUCAAGACAAAGGCCACUUUGUCUUGAAACUUGAUUGAGGCUAUCUCGAGACUAGUUUGAAAAGCUCGAGACACUAAGCAAUUGAUCUUAUGAAAUGAUAAGUUUUGAUCUAAUGGUCUCGAGGCAUGCUCAUAUUGUUUUGAAACUUAAUGACAAAUUGACCUGAGAUGCACAAUUUCAAGCAGUCAAACCAUACUAAAUUAUACCUAAACUUCACAUAAAUGAAAAAUCAUCAAUUCAACAUACAAAACACAUUCAAUCACCAACAAAUCUUAGCAUCCAUUUCGUCUUUGUCUAGCCAAGCAAGUCAUGCAACGAAAUACUUAUGAACAAAUACUUAUGAACAUGUAUAAUAAUCUUUAAAUCAAAAGAAGAAACUCAUCACUUAAAAUAUUAUAGGUUAGAAUAUCAAAAAUACCAAAUAUUAACUUAAGUAAUAGUGACAUGCCAAAAUAGGCAAGUAGUUGGUUUCCGAGUUGGAUGCUUUCUGACUUCGAAUCUAUUAUGAUUCUCGUUUGAGACCUAUGUAUAGAAACAAAUAUAAUUGUACGCUGAGUAAUAUAUACUCAAUGUUGCUAAUAUAAUUCAAAUUCAAAUAUAAAUGUCAUUAUAUCAAUUGAACGAACUAAGUGUCAAGAUUAAACAUAUUAUUCAUUAGCGAUUUCAAUAUUAUUAACAUUAAUAUGUAUAUACUUAUAAAUCAUUAUUCCUUUGGAUGAUUCAUUAUCAUUUUUUAUUCGAGCAUGUUCAUAUUCACAUUUUUGCUUGCUUACAAGUCACAUUUCAUGAUAUAUGUAUGAGAAAUUUAUUGAAUUUCAUUAAUCGAAGUUGUUAACUUUUUAGUUUAGAAAAUCAGUCGACUUGUGAUGGUUUUUUAAAUGGGAUCCAAACAUUUAGGGGUUGAAAUGUUUUCAUAACAUUCAAAUAUCUAUUUCUUAUCUUUAAAAUGCACUUUGAAUCACUUGAUUUCGAAUUUGGAAGUUCAAGUUAUGACCGUUUUAAUAAAGACUACGUGAAUAUAAUUUUUGGACGGGAUUAUUAUGAAAAAUUAUGAGUUUCGAGCUUUAAUUUGAGUUUAAAUUAUAUUCGGUUUGAUUUUUAGAUUUAAUUUUUAUUAUAUAUGAGCAUAAUAUUUUAUUUAUUAGGUUUUGUUAUUUAAUUAUUUAUUUAUUCUGAAUUUUAGAAUAUUUUUAGAGUAUUUUAAGUUAUUUAGAAGUUUUAUAUUUCUUAGUCAAUAAUAGUUUAAAACUACUUUUUAUUUAGAUUAUAUAGGGGGUUUCUUACCUUAAUAAUAUAUAUAUAAAACCAUAAUGGUAUGUUAAGAUUAAUUACCAAAAUGGUUCAUUUAAAUUGGUGGAAGGUGGUGCAUAGGUGGUGCAUAGGUGGCACCACCUUAUUUUUUGAUACUUUACAGAAAAAAAUUUAUUUUAUGUAGUGGAGGGUGUCAGAUAGGUAGCAUUAGUGGAGGGUGUCUGGUAGGCGGCACCAGUGGAGAGUGUCAUCUAACACUCCCUAAAUUCAUAUCAUCACCGGAAUAGGGUUAUGAGGCUUUACCAUACUUAUACACUAGCAUUUAUGCAAAAUUGAGUCAUAAAUUUUUAUUUUAAAUUGAAACUUCUUAAAUUACACUAUAAAGUCUUUAAUAUGAGUCUGCGGGGUCCAAUACAUGCUUUAGAAGUAAUUCAGGAUUAAAUCGGUAACUUUGGAAAUUUUAUCUUGAAGAUAGGGAUACGCGCCUGUGUGACUUGGGACAUGGCCGUGUGGCUAGCCCGUGGGGUUCCCAUGGCCGUGGGGCCAGGCUGUGAUAGAUCUUAUUUGCUUACACGAUCGUGGGAAUAGUCGGUGUGACAUAAACAGAGAGUCACACGGCCUGAGCACACGCCCAUGUGACUUGGCCGUGUGAAAACAUGAUUUUUGUCCAUUUUUAAGCUAUUUUCACAUGUUAAACACAUUUAAUUCACGCUCAAGCAUUUACUUGGCCGUGUGAAAACAUGAUUUUUGUCUAUUUUUAAGCUAUUUUCAUAUGUUAAACACAUUUAAUUCACGUCAAGCAUUUACUAAUAGUUCUUAAAUUAAAUAUCAUGCAUUAUGCCAUUCAAACUUAGCAAAUAUUCAUUCAUUCACUUCAAUACUUCUUAAGGAUUAUGUAUCACAACUCAUAUCGAAAUUAUACUACAUUUUCAUACUAGUCAAACUCAUUUAAGUUUAACUUUCCAAAAUAUGUAUAUUUCAUACCAUGUUUCAACAUCUUUCAUACUCAUUCUUAUCAUUUACAAAAUAAAAUCUUGCCAAUUUACCAAAAGAAAGGUACUUCACCACUUUGAGUUCGGGAUUGGCUUGGAUGCUAAGUCUUCAUCUUUCUUUCGUACCUAAACCUGCAUACGAAAAAUAAACCGUACACUGAGUAUACACUCAGUGGUAUUUUUAUAAACCAAUACUUAACAUACAUUUAAACAUAACUAUAAAUUUUAACAAUAGGAACUUUAAAAAUUACCAUUCAAUUAUCCUUAAAUUACAGUAACACUUAUUAAUAAAAUCGUAUUCAAUAAGAUCAUACAGUAAUAACAGUAUCUUUCAGUGCUCAGUACAGUAGUUUAUCUCUUACAUUCAUUUUACACCUCUUCCCUGUAGUUAAGCAAUUCAUAUAUAUUUAUAUUUCAUGUCUUUUGAUAACUUAAACAUUCGUAAAUUAAUCGCAGUCACUUAAUCGAUAUCAGACAGUCUUCAGUACUUUCAUUUACCCUUAUUAACAUCACUCGGAUUUAAACAGAUACGUGGAUUCAACCCACACACCGGGAAUAAUAUACAGUGUUUCAUCGACCGAAAUUGGAAGACAUCGUAAGGUAACAGUAACAGUCAUAAUCAGGUUCGAAGCACCUCUUCGGAACGAAUCCGGAACAGUCGCAGUAGUCGACAUAUAUAGUGUCUCAUCAAUACAGUUGGAAUAUCCCUAAACACUUUUAAUUCUAUGGCAUGCCAAUUGUAUUUGAUUAACCCGACACUGUUAAUAGAGUAUUCAAAUCGUUUCAUUUCAAUACAGAAGUAGUAACAGUUUUUAUCAUAUCAUUUAUUAUACAUUUUAACUAUUAAAAAUAACAAUUACAUUAUAUUAAA